RNAcentral lists this ribosomal RNA (465 nucleotides) under Vreelandella stevensii. RNAcentral's name for it is "partial 16S ribosomal RNA". It matches the Rfam family "Bacterial small subunit ribosomal RNA", at positions 338 to 795 of the family's 1533-position model. The record is from RNAcentral. Lineage: Bacteria; Pseudomonadati; Pseudomonadota; Gammaproteobacteria; Oceanospirillales; Halomonadaceae.
CCUACGGGGAGCAGCAGUGGGGAAUAUUGGACAAUGGGCGAAAGCCUGAUCCAGCCAUGCCGCGUGUGUGAAGAAGGCCUUCGGGUUGUAAAGCACUUUCAGUGGGGAAGAAAGCCUUGGGGCUAAUACCCUCGAGGAAGGACAUCACCCACAGAAGAAGCACCGGCUAACUCCGUGCCAGCAGCCGCGGUAAUACGGAGGGUGCGAGCGUUAAUCGGAAUUACUGGGCGUAAAGCGCGCGUAGGCGGUCUGAUAAGCCGGUUGUGAAAGCCCCGGGCUCAACCUGGGAACGGCAUCCGGAACUGUCAGGCUAGAGUGCAGGAGAGGAAGGUAGAAUUCCCUGUGUAGCGGUGAAAUGCGUAGAGAUCGGGAGGAAUACCAGUGGCGAAGGCGGCCUUCUGGACUGACACUGACGCUGAGGUGCGAAAGCGUGGGUAGCAAACAGGAUUAGAUACCCUGGUAGUC